AAAACCAUGCUAAUACCGCAUACGCCCUAAGGGGGAAAGCAGGGGAUCUUCGGACCUUGCGCUAUUGGAUGAGUCUGCGUCGGAUUAGAUUGUUGGUGGGGUAAUGGCCUACCAAGUCUACGAUCCGUAGCUGGUCUGAGAGGACGAUCAGCCACACUGGAACUGAGACACGGUCCAGACUCCUACGGGAGGCAGCAGUGGGGAAUAUUGCACAAUGGGCGAAAGCCUGAUGCAGCCAUGCCGCGUGUGUGAAGAAGGCUCUAGGGUUGUAAAGCACUUUCAAUAGCGAGGAAAAGUUGUCAGCUAAUAACUGUCAGCCUUGACGUUAACUAUAGAAGAAGCACCGGCUAACUCCGUGCCAGCAGCCGCGGUAAUACGGAGGGUGCAAGCGUUAAUCGGAAUUACUGGGCGUAAAGCGCGCGUAGGCGGUUUGGUCAGUUGGAUGUGAAAGCCCCGGGCUUAACCUGGGAACUGCAUUCAAUACUGCCAGACUCGAGUACGAGAGAGGGGGGUAGAAUUUCUAGUGUAGCGGUGAAAUGCGUAGAUAUUAGAAGGAAUACCAGUGGCGA
Molecule: ribosomal RNA, 569 nt
Filed under: uncultured Gammaproteobacteria bacterium
Lineage: Bacteria; Pseudomonadati; Pseudomonadota; Gammaproteobacteria
Description: bacterial SSU rRNA
Rfam family: Bacterial small subunit ribosomal RNA
Source: RNAcentral